UUUGGUGGCGAUAGCGAAGAGGUCAUACCCGUUCCCAUACCGAACACGGAAGUUAAGCUCUUCAGCGCCGAUGGUAGUUGGGGGUCUCCCCCUGUGAGAGUAGGACGCCGCCAAGC
This 116-nucleotide ribosomal RNA is filed under the name Bacillus altitudinis. Lineage: Bacteria; Bacillati; Bacillota; Bacilli; Caryophanales; Bacillaceae. The record is from RNAcentral.